AGUUCGGAUUGUAGUCUGCAACCCGACUACAUGAAGCCGGAAUCGCUAGUAAUCGCGGAUCAGAAUGCCGCGGUGAAUACGUUCCCGGGUCUUGUACACACCGCCCGUCACACCAUGGGAGUCGGAAAUGCCCGAAGUCUGUGACCCAACCGUAAGGAGGGAGCAGCCGAAGGCAGGUCGGAUGACUGGGGUGAAGUCGUAACAAGGUAUC
This 211-nucleotide ribosomal RNA is filed under the name uncultured bacterium. RNAcentral describes it as "partial 16S ribosomal RNA". It matches the Rfam family "Bacterial small subunit ribosomal RNA", at positions 1290 to 1500 of the family's 1533-position model. The record is from RNAcentral.